Molecule: microRNA, 22 nt
Filed under: Arabidopsis thaliana (thale cress)
Lineage: Eukaryota; Viridiplantae; Streptophyta; Magnoliopsida; Brassicales; Brassicaceae
Also listed under: 1 other name
Description: ath-miR833a-3p
Gene: ath-miR833a-3p
Source: miRBase by way of RNAcentral
UAGACCGAUGUCAACAAACAAG